Molecule: long non-coding RNA, 625 nt
Organism: Oncorhynchus keta (chum salmon)
Lineage: Eukaryota; Metazoa; Chordata; Actinopteri; Salmoniformes; Salmonidae
Exons: 3
Source: RefSeq, a predicted model, not a curated record
CUUGCGGGAGGGGCGGUUCCUCUUGCGGGAGGGGCGGUUCCUCUAGCAGGAGGGGCGGUUCCUCUAGCGGGAGGGGAGGUUCCUCUAGCAGGAGGGGAGGUUCCUCUUGCAGGAGGGGCGGUUCCUCUAGCGGGAGGGGAGGUUCCUCUAGCAGGAGGGGAGGUUCCUCUUGCAGGAGGGGCGGUUCCUCUUGCAGGAGGGGCGGUUCCUCUAGCAGGAGGGGCGGUUCCUCUUGCAGGAGGGGCGGUUCCUCUAGCAGGAGGGGAGGUUCCUCUAGCAGGAGGGGCGGUUCCUCUUGCAGGAGGGGCGGUUCCUCUUGCAGGAGGGGCGGUUCCUCUAGCAGGAGGGGCGGUUCCUCUAGCAGGAGGGGCGGUUCCUCUUGCAGGAGGGCGGUUCCUCUAGCGGGAGGGGCGGUUCCUCUCGCAGGAGGGGCGGUUCCUCUAGCAGGAGGGGCGGUUCCUCUAGCAGGAGGGGCGGUUCCUCUAGCAGGAGGGGCGGUUCCUCUUGCAGGAGGGGCGGUUCCUCUUGCGGGAGGGGCGGUUCCUCUAGCAGGCGGAGGAGGGUCGUUAGUGAUUGUCCUCCAGGGAUAAUGUCACCACAGGGGCGGUUCCUCUAGCAGGCGGAG